Molecule: ribosomal RNA, 500 nt
Filed under: uncultured bacterium
Lineage: Bacteria
Description: partial 16S ribosomal RNA
Rfam family: Bacterial small subunit ribosomal RNA
Source: RNAcentral
AUUGAACGCUGGCGGAAUGCUUUACACAUGCAAGUCGAACGGCAGCACGGACUUCGGUCUGGUGGCGAGUGGCGAACGGGUGAGUAAUGUAUCGGAACGUGCCCAGUCGUGGGGGAUAACGUAGUGAAAAUUACGCUAAUACCGCAUACGAUCUCUGGAUGAAAGCGGGGGAUCGCAAGACCUCGCGCGAUUGGAGCGGCCGAUAUCAGAUUAGGUGGUUGGUGGGGUAAAGGCCCACCAAGCCAACGAUCUGUAGCCGGUCUGAGAGGACGACCAGCCACACUGGAACUGAGGCACGGUCCAGACUCCUACGGGAGGCAGCAGGUGGGAAUUUUGGACAAUGGGCGAAAACCUGAUCCAGCCAUUCCGCGUGCAGGAUGAAGGCCCUCGGGUUGUAAACUGCUUUUGUACAGAACGAAAAGGUUUCUACUAAUACUAGGAGCUCAUGACGGUACUGUAAGAAUAAGCACCGGCUAACUACGUGCCAGCCGCCGCGGUAA